AUGACCUUUAAUAUGCAAAUGGUAACUUGCAAUUAAAUAUAUAAUAAUAAAUAUAUUUCCAUCAAGUUGACUUUUUACGUGUUUUGUUUGUAGGGAGAGGCAGGGCCCUCUGGAGUCACAGGACCAGUAGGACCUCAAGGAGACACCGGGGAGCUGGGCCCUCCAGGGCGGCCAGGCCUUAACGGAGCUGAUGGGAUACCAGGUCCCCCAGGAAACAUCAUGCUCAUACCGUUCCAGUCAAGUGGUGAUCCAAAGUCAGGAACUGUGGUUUCUGCACAGGAGGCGCAGGCUCAGGCCAUUCUGCAGCAGACAAAGGUACACAAAUGUUUGAAAUAUUACCUUUUUAUAUCUUAAACACACUCACAGAGCUGAUGUAGAACUACUGCUGUGUGUGUGU
Molecule: long non-coding RNA, 397 nt
Filed under: Cottoperca gobio
Lineage: Eukaryota; Metazoa; Chordata; Actinopteri; Perciformes; Bovichtidae
Description: lncRNA (ENSCGOG00000005775.1)
Source: RNAcentral